Molecule: ribosomal RNA, 491 nt
Filed under: uncultured bacterium
Lineage: Bacteria
Description: partial 16S ribosomal RNA
Rfam family: Bacterial small subunit ribosomal RNA
Source: RNAcentral
GUGAACGCUGGCGGUAGGCCUAACACAUGCCAGUCGAACGGCAGCACAGUAAGAGCUUGCUCUUACGGGUGGCGAGUGGCGGACGGGUGAGGAAUACAUCGGAAUCUACUUUUUCGUGGGGGAUAACGUAGGGAAACUUACGCUAAUACCGCAUACGACCUACGGGUGAAAGCAGGGGAUCUUCGGACCUUGCGCGAUUGAAUGAGCCGAUGUCGGAUUAGCUAGUUGGCGGGGUAAAGGCCCACCAAGGCGACGAUCCGUAGCUGGUCUGAGAGGAUGAUCAGCCACACUGGAACUGAGACACGGUCCAGACUCCUACGGGAGGCAGCAGUGGGGAAUAUUGGACAAUGGGCGCAAGCCUGAUCCAGCCAUACCGCGUGGGUGAAGAAGGCCUUCGGGCUGUAAAGCCCUUUUGUUGGGAAAGAAAAGCAGCAGGUUAAUACCCCGCUGUUCUGACGGUACCCAAAGAAUAAGCACCGGCUAACUUCGUG